This 913-nucleotide long non-coding RNA is filed under the name Heterocephalus glaber (naked mole-rat). RNAcentral's name for it is "lncRNA (ENSHGLG00000046419.1)". Lineage: Eukaryota; Metazoa; Chordata; Mammalia; Rodentia; Bathyergidae. The record is from RNAcentral.
GACACACGUACGUACACAGGGGGACACGGAUCACACCACACUUCGCUCUUCCCCAGCAGGCGCCCUGGAACACGCGCGCCCAGCGUGCCCAGCUCCCGAGGGCCCGGCUCACGGUCACACUGCGUGCUCGUGGGCGCUACUCUGGGAUCCCAAAGUCUUGCUCUGCCUCUCUAGAGCCCAAAGCAACGUUAAAACAAAGAGAAAAAUACUGCACGAGGAUCCAGACUGUAUUCAGAGCAGAUGAGGCUCAGAGAGGCAGCCCGUUCCGAGAUCCACUUCCUACACACCAGGCCCUCGUCCUCCACGUACAGAGUGUGCCUUUGUUCAGUCUACAGUGUUGCUGCUGCGUGUCUCUGAAACUAUUUUCCAUAGAUUCGCCUUGUAAUCUUUCUAAAACCAAAACAAGGACAGACUGCAGAAAGGAAACCAUGCCCUGAUGUGCCUAUGAGCUUAUCUUCCGGAUCGAACUCAGACCUUGCCCUUGUGAGACAGGUGCGGUGCCACUGAGCUAAAUCACCUGCAGUAUUUCAUUGUUUAAAUCUAUUAGCCCUGUGUGGUGGUGCACACCUGUAACCCCAGAACUCGAGAGGCUGAGGCAGGAGGGUCACCUCCAGUUUGAGGCCAGCCUGGGCUACAUAAUGAGUUCAAGGACAGCCGAGACAACAUACCAAGACCCUAUCCCAAUAGUAAAUAAAUAAUAAAUAAGUAAAAUCCAUGAUUGCUGCUGUCAGGAUGGAUGAAAGUUUAAAUGAAAUGAUGUAUCUUAGCACGCUCUCCUCGGGGCAUAGCCUCCUCUUUGUAGUGUGUCCUUGAUUUGGCUUCAGGAAAAGAUCACAAGGGGAAUGGAUGGGAAAUAUCUGAGAAGCAGCAGCUAAGAUAGCGCCAGGAGCAAACCUGGCAACUGGUACAGCAG